This is a non-coding RNA of Myotis lucifugus (little brown bat), 75 nucleotides long. Lineage: Eukaryota; Metazoa; Chordata; Mammalia; Chiroptera; Vespertilionidae. The record is from Rfam.
GGCAGUUCUCGAGUGACACACCCUGGAAUUGGGCUCCCUCCUCUCUGGUUCUGAGUGCAUCACCCGGGAACCACA